RNAcentral lists this ribosomal RNA (272 nucleotides) under uncultured archaeon. Its description in RNAcentral is "partial 16S rRNA". It matches the Rfam family "Archaeal small subunit ribosomal RNA", at positions 362 to 631 of the family's 1478-position model. The record is from RNAcentral.
AAAUCGCGACGGGGCGGACCCCAAGUGCCAUUCUUAACGGGAUGGCUUUUCUUAAGUGUAAAAAGCUUUUGGAAUAAGAGCUGGGCAAGACCGGUGCCAGCCGNCGCGGUAACACCGGNCAGCUCUAGUGGUGGCCANCUNUUAUUGGGCCUAAAGCGUUCGUACCCGGUUUAUUAAGUCUCUGGUGAAAUCCCGUAGCUUANCUAUGGGAAUNGCUGGAGAUACUAGUAGACUUNAGGUCGGGAGAGGUUAGAGGUACUCCCAGGGUANGG